CCUACGGGAUGCACCAGUGGGGAAUAUUGGACAAUGGGCGAAAGCCUGAUCCAGCAAUGCCGCGUGUGUGGAGAAGGUCUUCGGAUUGUAAGGCACUCUCGACGGGGACGAUGAUGACGGUACCCGUAGAAGAAGCCCCGGCUAACUUCGUGCCAGCAGCCGCGGUAAUACGAAGGGGGCUAGCGUUGCUCGGAAUAACUGGGCGUAAAGGCGCGUAGGCGGUUUAUGCAGUCAGAUGUAAAAUCCCCGGGCUUAACCUGGGAACUGCAUUUGAGACGCAUAGACUAGAGGUCGAGAGAGGGUUGUGGAAUUCCCAGUGUAGAGGUGAAAUUCGUAGAUAUUGGGAAGAACACCGGUGGCGAAGGCGGCAACCUGGCUCGAUACUGACGCUGAGGCGCGAAAGCGUGGGGAGCAAACAGGAUUAGAUACCCGCGUAGUC
This 439-nucleotide ribosomal RNA is filed under the name uncultured bacterium. RNAcentral describes it as "bacterial SSU rRNA". It matches the Rfam family "Bacterial small subunit ribosomal RNA", at positions 338 to 795 of the family's 1533-position model. The record is from RNAcentral.